This is a long non-coding RNA of Ictalurus punctatus (channel catfish), 1167 nucleotides long. Lineage: Eukaryota; Metazoa; Chordata; Actinopteri; Siluriformes; Ictaluridae. The record is from Ensembl.
GGCGAUCCUUACAGAACUCACUCACUCCCACAGCAGCGAGAGAACCGGCCUGCUGAACCCCGCCCACCCAGGAACAGGAAGCAUCUACCACAGUGAAAACUUCAGCCUCAAGCUUUCUCCACCACCAAUGGUGGAGGAGUAGUGCAGACUCCGCCCACUGUUACAGACCUGAAUAAAUGCGUUGGUGCAUAUCUCUACGCUGACGUCUUCAUGCUUUCACUGGCCUUCACAUCUACACCAAUGAACGUUAGGAAGAAAACACUUGCGGGUAUGCUGUGAUAGGGAAAUAGCCAAUGACUAGACGUGCGUCUCAUUCAGCUCCCUAGCUCCCCUGGUGGUGACUCAGUAUAUCGUGUACACGAGUUCAUGCACUGGUCCGAACUCCCUCCCAGAGUUUCCAGCCUGCCUUGCUUCCACCUCCCAGGAUGAUGUCACUAAAUGGCGGCCAUGUUUAAAGAGGAAGAGGAGUGAGAAUGGCGUGGGAUGUUGGAGGUGGUUACAUGUGUUUCUGUUAAGAGAGUGUGUUUGGUUGUGCUGCUUGUAUGCUAUUUUCUGACUGCUGUUCUGGUUUUUGGACUUUGAGUUUAUUUGUACCUGUUUAUGUGCAUUCUAUUCAGCAUUGUAUAUAUGAUUCACUUGGUUCACCUGCAGUAGGGGUGUGGCUGCCAUUUCUUUUGGGAGAGGGUCCUUUGUCUCUGUUUUUGGCUUAGGUAGUUAGGGAAGUACUUGUAUUUUCUUUAUGUUCCUUUUAGUUAAGCUAGGUACCUAACAAGAGAAUUCUUUUGUCUAUUAUUUUGGCCUUGGCCCACCCUGAAGUUACUUCUGGUUUGGUUCCUUGUACAGUUAUGUGUUUUUUUUUUAUAAUUUUGUGUUUUACAAUAUACCACAACCUUUUUGAACAACCCUGUUUGUGUUGUUAUUCCUGGCUUCCCUUAUUUAAAGGUCAAAUUCCACUGAAUUCUGAGCUGGUUACUCUGUGCGGCCUAACCUAGACUGGGCCGUAACAGCAUUAAUUUACCAAGCAACAUUUACCUAAUUUACUGAUACAUAGAAGUCUUUAAGAAAUGUAUACAUUCAAGGCUAUAUAAUGUAUAUGUACAAAUACUAAACAAUAGUAUGCUAAAUAAGUAUGCUUUUAAAAAAAAAGGUUGUACACAAACUAACUAU